GUCUGCCCGUUAUAAAGAGCAGUCUGGCCUGCCCCCUGAUGAGAAAUUUAAGGGCCGCGGUACCCUAACCGUGCGAAGGUAGCAUAAUAAUUAGUCUUUUAAUUGAAGACUGGAAUGAAAGGUCGGACAAAAAGCGAACUGUCUCAGCUUUAACCGUUAAAAUUAACUUCUAGGUGAAAAGGCCUAGAUAAAUUUGAAGGACGACAAGACCCUGUAAAACUUUAUACUCGAGGUGUAUCCCCCAAGCUGUUUGUGAAAAUUUGGCUACGCCGUAAAGUAUUACGUUGGGGAGACGAAAGUAUAACACGUAACUGCUUUUACUUUAGACAAUAAUCUUUGAUAAUCGUUGAUCCUUUUUAGAUUAUGAGAAAAAGUUACUUCAGGGAUAACAGCGUUAUUUUUUUUAAGAGUCCUUAUCGACAAAAAAGUUUGCGACCUCGAUGUUGAAUUAAAAUUUCCUUACAAUGCAGAAGUUGUACAGGUAGGUCUGUUCGACCUCUAAGAUUUUACAUGAUUUGAGUUCAAACCGGCGUGAG
Molecule: ribosomal RNA, 536 nt
Filed under: Corallianassa longiventris
Lineage: Eukaryota; Metazoa; Arthropoda; Malacostraca; Decapoda; Callianassidae
Description: partial large subunit ribosomal RNA
Rfam family: Bacterial large subunit ribosomal RNA
Source: RNAcentral